GGACCCGUUGCACAGCUUGGAUAGUGCGCGAGCUUGCGGAGCUUGAGGUCGGGGGUUCGAGUCCCCUCGGGUCCG
Molecule: transfer RNA, 75 nt
Filed under: Nitrososphaerota archaeon
Lineage: Archaea; Thermoproteati; Nitrososphaerota
Also listed under: 2 other names
Description: Thaumarchaeota archaeon tRNA-Arg
Rfam family: tRNA
About the family: Transfer RNA (tRNA) molecules are approximately 80 nucleotides in length. Their secondary structure includes four short double-helical elements and three loops (D, anti-codon, and T loops).
Source: RNAcentral